This 468-nucleotide ribosomal RNA is filed under the name uncultured bacterium. Its description in RNAcentral is "partial 16S ribosomal RNA". It matches the Rfam family "Bacterial small subunit ribosomal RNA", at positions 28 to 507 of the family's 1533-position model. The record is from RNAcentral.
GACGAACGCUGGCGGCGUGCUUAACACAUGCAAGUCGAACGGAAAGGCCCUGCUUUUGUGGGGUGCUCGAGUGGCGAACGGGUGAGUAACACGUGAGUAACCUGCCCUUGACUUUGGGAUAACUUCAGGAAACUGGGGCUAAUACCGGAUAGGAGCUCCUGCUGCAUGGUGGGGGUUGGAAAGUUUCGGCGGUUGGGGAUGGACUCGCGGCUUAUCAGCUUGUUGGUGGGGUAGUGGCUUACCAAGGCUUUGACGGGUAGCCGGCCUGAGAGGGUGACCGGCCACAUUGGGACUGAGAUACGGCCCAGACUCCUACGGGAGGCAGCAGUGGGGAAUAUUGCACAAUGGGCGGAAGCCUGAUGCAGCAACGCCGCGUGCGGGAUGAAGGCCUUCGGGUUGUAAACCGCUUUCGCCUGUGACGAAGCGUGGGUGACGGUAAUGGGUAAAGAAGCACCGGCUAACUACGUG